AACGAACGCUGGCGGCGUGCCUAAUACAUGCAAGUUGAGCGGUGAAGGCUGGUUCUUGUACCAACCGGGUGAGCAGCGCACGGGUGAGUAACGCGUGGGGAAUCUGCCUUUGAGCGGGGGACAACAAUUGGAAACGAAUGCUUAUACCGCAUAAAAACCUUAAACACAAGUUUUAAGUUUGAAAGAUGCCAUUUCAUCAUUCAAAGGUGGUUCCGCGUUGUAUUAGUUAGUUGGUGAGGUAAAAGGUCACCAAGGGGAAGAUACAUAGCCGACCUGAGAGGGUGAUCGGCCACAUUGGGACGGAGACACGGCCCAAACUCCUACGGGAGGCAGCAGUAGGGAAUCUUCGGCAAUGGACGAAAGUCUGACCGAGCAACGCCGCGUGAGUGAAGAAGGUUUUCGGAUCGUAAAACUCGGUUGGUAGAGAAGAACGUUGGUGAGAGUGGAAAGCUCAUCAAGUGACGGUAACUACCCAGAAAGGGACGGCUAACUACGUG
Molecule: ribosomal RNA, 497 nt
Filed under: uncultured bacterium
Lineage: Bacteria
Description: partial 16S ribosomal RNA
Rfam family: Bacterial small subunit ribosomal RNA
Source: RNAcentral